GCAAGUCGAGCGAGAAUUGUUGGAACAAGCCUUCGGGUGAGGGAAGACGAGGAAAGCGGCGGACGGGUGAGUAACGCGUGGGAAACCUGCCCUAUACACAGGGAUAGCCAUUGGAAACGAUGAUUAAUACCUGAUAAGACCACAGCAUCACAUGUUGCAGUGGUAAAAACUCCGGUGGUAUAGGAUGGUCCCGCGUCUGAUUAGCUAGUUGGUAAGGUAACGGCUUACCAAGGCGACGAUCAGUAGCCGGCCUGAGAGGGUGAACGGCCACACUGGAACUGAGACACGGUCCAGACUCCUACGGGAGGCAGCAGUGGGGGAUAUUGCACAAUGGGGGAAACCCUGAUGCAGCGAUGCCGCGUGAGUGAUGAAGGCUUUCGAGUCGUAAAGUUCUGUUCUUAGGGAAGAUAAUGACGGUACCUAAGAAGAAAGUCCCGGCUAAAUACGUGCCAGCAGCCGCGGUAAUACGUAUGGGGCAAGCGUUAUCCGGAAUUAUUGGGCGUAAAGAGUUCGUAGGCGGUUCUUUAAGUCAGAAGUGAAAGGCAGUGGCUCAACCAUUGUAAGCUUUUGAAACUGGGGAACUUGAGUGUUGGAGAGGAAAGCGGAAUUCCUAGUGUAGCGGUGAAAUGCGUAGAUAUUAGGAGGAACACCAGUGGCGAAGGCGGCUUUCUGGACAAAUACUGACGCUGAGGAACGAAAGCGUGGGGAGCGANCAGGAUUANAUACCCUGGUAGUCCCGCCGUAACGAUGANUGCUAGGUGUUGGGGUAGCGAUACCUCAGUCCGCAGCUAACGCAUUAAGCNCUCCGCCUGGGGAGUACGGUCGCAAGAC
Molecule: ribosomal RNA, 831 nt
Filed under: uncultured bacterium
Lineage: Bacteria
Description: bacterial SSU rRNA
Rfam family: Bacterial small subunit ribosomal RNA
Source: RNAcentral